AGGCGGGUGCGGCCGGUGCUCGGAUUCCUCCGCGCCGUCCGCAUCCACCUGACGACUGCUCGCUACGUUUUGUUAGCC
RNAcentral lists this small RNA (78 nucleotides) under Xanthomonas fragariae. RNAcentral's name for it is "sX9 sRNA". It matches the Rfam family "Xanthomonas sRNA sX9". The record is from RNAcentral. Lineage: Bacteria; Pseudomonadati; Pseudomonadota; Gammaproteobacteria; Lysobacterales; Lysobacteraceae.